Molecule: transfer RNA, 72 nt
Filed under: Saccharomyces cerevisiae (brewer's yeast)
Lineage: Eukaryota; Fungi; Ascomycota; Saccharomycetes; Saccharomycetales; Saccharomycetaceae
Description: transfer RNA-Thr
Source: RNAcentral
AAGGUCGUUAGUUCAAUUCUGACAGGUGGCAGUUUCCUUUUUAUUUGUCAGUAUUAAUAAUUGAGGCGCCCC